This 76-nucleotide transfer RNA is filed under the name Clostridiales bacterium. Its description in RNAcentral is "tRNA-Thr". It matches the Rfam family "tRNA". Rfam says of the family: Transfer RNA (tRNA) molecules are approximately 80 nucleotides in length. Their secondary structure includes four short double-helical elements and three loops (D, anti-codon, and T loops). Further hydrogen bonds mediate the characteristic L-shaped molecular structure. tRNAs have two regions of fundamental functional importance: the anti-codon, which is responsible for specific mRNA codon recognition, and the 3' end, to which the tRNAs corresponding amino acid is attached (by aminoacyl-tRNA synthetases). tRNAs cope with the degeneracy of the genetic code in two manners: having more than one tRNA (with a specific anti-codon) for a particular amino acid; and 'wobble' base-pairing, i.e. permitting non-standard base-pairing at the 3rd anti-codon position. Lineage: Bacteria; Bacillati; Bacillota; Clostridia; Eubacteriales. RNAcentral also lists the same sequence under 1 other name. The record is from RNAcentral.
GCUGGUGUAGCUCAAUCGGCAGAGCAGCUGAUUUGUAAUCAGCAGGUUGCGGGUUCAAUUCCAGUCACCAGCUCCA